Molecule: long non-coding RNA, 387 nt
Organism: Pipistrellus kuhlii (Kuhl's pipistrelle)
Lineage: Eukaryota; Metazoa; Chordata; Mammalia; Chiroptera; Vespertilionidae
Exons: 2
Source: RefSeq, a predicted model, not a curated record
AGGCUAUGCAGCCAGGCCCUUACAUGGAGAGAAACACAGACACCAGUCCAACCCAAAAGAAUGUUCUCUUUUCUGAGUCAGAGAUACUGACAAGAAUCUGUGAAUAGAACCAGGGACCAAAGGCAGUUGAAAAUAGAAGGAGAAGGAAUCUAAGAAUGAGAUGAUGAUCUGAGUUUGAAGGUGGGUGAACUUGUGUGAGAAUCUUUACCUCUCCACCUCAGCAAACUGGAAAUCACAGAAUUGGAAGAAUCAGAGACCUAUUUUGAAGAUCAAAUAAAAUACUGAAUCAUCUGGAUACCCAACCCUUUGGCUUAGGGGACAAGAGUUACCAUUACCGUAUUCAACUGGAGGAUAUACCGUAUCACCUGAAAAAUGGAAGAAGUGAUU